UGCGCAGGCGGCCGUGUAAGUCAGAGGUGAAAUAUGACGGCUCAACCGUCAAACUGCCUCUAAGACUGCUCGGCUUGAGUCCGGGAGAGGAAGGUGGAAUUCCUGGUGUAGCGGUGAAAUGCGUAAAUAUCAGGAGGAACACCGGUGGCGAAGGCGGCCUUCUGGCCCGGUACUGACGCUCAUGCACGAAAGCCAGGGGAGCGAACG
RNAcentral lists this ribosomal RNA (207 nucleotides) under uncultured bacterium. RNAcentral's name for it is "partial 16S ribosomal RNA". It matches the Rfam family "Bacterial small subunit ribosomal RNA", at positions 568 to 774 of the family's 1533-position model. The record is from RNAcentral.